This 28-nucleotide small RNA is filed under the name Bombyx mori (domestic silkworm). RNAcentral describes it as "ovarian small RNA-11850". Lineage: Eukaryota; Metazoa; Arthropoda; Insecta; Lepidoptera; Bombycidae. The record is from RNAcentral.
AGACCUGAAAAUUGGGCUCAUGAAACCA